This 1329-nucleotide ribosomal RNA is filed under the name bacterium. RNAcentral's name for it is "bacterial SSU rRNA". It matches the Rfam family "Bacterial small subunit ribosomal RNA", at positions 112 to 1451 of the family's 1533-position model. The record is from RNAcentral.
AACACGUGAGCAAUCUGCCCCUGACUCUGGGAUAAGCGCUGGAAACGGCGUCUAAUACUGGAUACGAACCGUGGAGGCAUCUUCAACGGUUGGAAAGAUUUUUUGGUCAGGGAUGAGCUCGCGGCCUAUCAGCUUGUUGGUGAGGUAAUGGCUCACCAAGGCGUCGACGGGUAGCCGGCCUGAGAGGGUGACCGGCCACACUGGGACUGAGACACGGCCCAGACUCCUACGGGAGGCAGCAGUGGGGAAUAUUGCACAAUGGGCGAAAGCCUGAUGCAGCAACGCCGCGUGAGGGAUGACGGCCUUCGGGUUGUAAACCUCUUUUAGCAGGGAAGAAGCGAAAGUGACGGUACCUGCAGAAAAAGCGCCGGCUAACUACGUGCCAGCAGCCGCGGUAAUACGUAGGGCGCAAGCGUUAUCCGGAAUUAUUGGGCGUAAAGAGCUCGUAGGCGGUUUGUCGCGUCUGCUGUGAAAUCCCGAGGCUCAACUUCGGGUCUGCAGUGGGUACGGGCAGACUAGAGUGCGGUAGGGGAGAUUGGAAUUCCUGGUGUAGCGGUGGAAUGCGCAGAUAUCAGGAGGAACACCGAUGGCGAAGGCAGAUCUCUGGGCCGUAACUGACGCUGAGGAGCGAAAGGGUGGGGAGCAAACAGGCUUAGAUACCCUGGUAGUCCACCCCGUAAACGUUGGGAACUAGUUGUGGGGUCCAUUCCACGGAUUCCGUGACGCAGCUAACGCAUUAAGUUCCCCGCCUGGGGAGUACGGCCGCAAGGCUAAAACUCAAAGGAAUUGACGGGGACCCGCACAAGCGGCGGAGCAUGCGGAUUAAUUCGAUGCAACGCGAAGAACCUUACCAAGGCUUGACAUAUACGAGAACGCUGCAGAAAUGUAGAACUCUUUGGACACUCGUAAACAGGUGGUGCAUGGUUGUCGUCAGCUCGUGUCGUGAGAUGUUGGGUUAAGUCCCGCAACGAGCGCAACCCUCGUUCUAUGUUGCCAGCACGUCAUGGUGGGAACUCAUGGGAUACUGCCGGGGUCAACUCGGAGGAAGGUGGGGAUGACGUCAAAUCAUCAUGCCCCUUAUGUCUUGGGCUUCACGCAUGCUACAAUGGCCGGUACAAAGGGCUGCAAUACCGUGAGGUGGAGCGAAUCCCAAAAAGCCGGUCCCAGUUCGGAUUGAGGUCUGCAACUCGACCUCAUGAAGUCGGAGUCGCUAGUAAUCGCAGAUCAGCAACGCUGCGGUGAAUACGUUCCCGGGUCUUGUACACACCGCCCGUCAAGUCAUGAAAGUCGGUAACACCUGAAGCCGGUGGCCCAACCCUUGUGGAGGGA